This 757-nucleotide ribosomal RNA is filed under the name uncultured bacterium. Its description in RNAcentral is "bacterial SSU rRNA". It matches the Rfam family "Bacterial small subunit ribosomal RNA", at positions 28 to 776 of the family's 1533-position model. The record is from RNAcentral.
GAUGAACGCUAGCGGCAGGCCUAACACAUGCAAGUCGAGGGGUAACAGGAGAAAGUUUACUUUCUUGCUGACGACCGGCGCACGGGUGCGUAACGCGUAUAGAACCUACCUUUUACAGAGGGAUAGUCCGAAGAAAUUUGGCAUAAUACCUCAUAGUAUUAUCGAUUGGCAUCGAUUGAUAAUUAAAGAUUUAUCGGUAAAAGAUGGCUAUGCGUCCUAUUAGCUAGUUGGUACGGUAACGGCGUACCAAGGCAACGAUAGGUAGGGGUUCUGAGAGGGAUAUCCCCCACACUGGUACUGAGACACGGACCAGACUCCUACGGGAGGCAGCAGUGAGGAAUAUUGGACAAUGGUGGCAACACUGAUCCAGCCAUGCCGCGUGCAGGAAGACGGCCUUAUGGGUUGUAAACUGCUUUUAUAUGGGAAGAACCGCAGGUACGUGUACCUGUCUGACGGUACCAUAUGAAUAAGCACCGGCUAACUCCGUGCCAGCAGCCGCGGUAAUACGGAGGGUGCAAGCGUUAUCCGGAAUCAUUGGGUUUAAAGGGUCCGUAGGCGGGUUAAUAAGUCAGGGGUGAAAUCUCACAGCUCAACUGUGAAACUGCCUUUGAUACUGUUAGCCUUGAAUGAUAUGGAAGUAGAUAGAAUGUGUAGUGUAGCGGUGAAAUGCAUAGAUAUUACACAGAAUACCGAUUGCGAAGGCAGUCUACUACGUAUUUAUUGACGCUAAUGGACGAAAGCGUGGGGAGCGAACAGG